UAGGCGGAAGCCUGUUGGUUUAGGCAUCUAGCUGUUAAUUAGAAUUUUAUGGGAUCGAGGCCCAUCCGUCUAG
RNAcentral lists this transfer RNA (73 nucleotides) under Opisthocomus hoazin. Its description in RNAcentral is "tRNA-Asn". It matches the Rfam family "tRNA". From Rfam's summary of the family: Transfer RNA (tRNA) molecules are approximately 80 nucleotides in length. Their secondary structure includes four short double-helical elements and three loops (D, anti-codon, and T loops). Lineage: Eukaryota; Metazoa; Chordata; Aves; Opisthocomiformes; Opisthocomidae. The record is from RNAcentral.